This 253-nucleotide ribosomal RNA is filed under the name uncultured bacterium. RNAcentral's name for it is "partial 16S ribosomal RNA". It matches the Rfam family "Bacterial small subunit ribosomal RNA", at positions 524 to 776 of the family's 1533-position model. The record is from RNAcentral.
UACGGAGGGUGCAAGCGUUAUCCGGAUUCACUGGGUUUAAAGGGUGCGUAGGUGGGCAGGUAAGUCAGUGGUGAAAUCUCCGGGCUUAACCCGGAAACUGCCGUUGAUACUAUCUGCCUUGAAUAUCGUGGAGAUGAGCGGAAUAUGUCAUGUAGCGGUGGAAUGCUUAGAUAUGACAUAGAACACCGAUUGCGAAGGCAGCUCGUUACAUGGUUAUUGACACUGAUGCGCGAAAGCGUGGGGAUCAAACAGG